CCAAUAGCGUAUAUUAAAGUUGUUGCAGUUAAAAAGCUCGUAGUUGAAUUUCGGGAUCUGUCCAUUGGUCGGGCUUCACGGUCCGUACUGGUGAGAUGGGUUCCUACCUUCUGAAUAACCAGCAUGCCAUUCAGUUGGUGCGCUGGGGAAGCCGAGCUAUUACCUUGAAAAAAUUAGAGUGCUUAAAGCAGGCUAGUGCUUGAACAGAUUAGCAUGGAAUAAUAAAAUAGGACGGCAUGGUUCUAUUUUGUUGGUUUCUAGGAUCACCGUAAUGAUUAAUAGGGAUAGUUGGGGGCAUUAGUAUUCAAUUGUCAGAGGUGAAAUUCUUGGAUUUAUUGAAGACUAACUUCUGCGAAAGCAUUUGCCAAGGAUGUUUUCAUUAAUCAAGAACGAAAGUUAGGGGAUCGAAGACGAUCAGAUACCGUCGUAGUCUUAACCAUAAACUAUGCCGACUAGGGAUCGGACGAUGUUAAUUUUUUAAUGACUCGUUCGGCGCCUUACG
RNAcentral lists this ribosomal RNA (502 nucleotides) under uncultured Glomeromycotina. RNAcentral describes it as "partial small subunit ribosomal RNA". It matches the Rfam family "Eukaryotic small subunit ribosomal RNA", at positions 591 to 1092 of the family's 1831-position model. The record is from RNAcentral. Lineage: Eukaryota; Fungi; Glomeromycota.